GAGAUAGGGUGAUCAAGAAAAAGCUGCUAACUUUUAUCUUAAGCGGUUAAAUUCCGUUUAUAUCUCU
Molecule: transfer RNA, 67 nt
Filed under: Trachypenaeus curvirostris
Lineage: Eukaryota; Metazoa; Arthropoda; Malacostraca; Decapoda; Penaeidae
Description: tRNA-Ser
Source: RNAcentral